RNAcentral lists this ribosomal RNA (142 nucleotides) under uncultured eukaryote. RNAcentral's name for it is "partial 18S ribosomal RNA". It matches the Rfam family "Eukaryotic small subunit ribosomal RNA", at positions 1299 to 1458 of the family's 1831-position model. The record is from RNAcentral.
UGGUGGAGUGAUUUGUCUGGUUAAUUCCGUUAACGAACGAGACCCCUGCCUGCUAAAUAGUUCCACGGAUGAAUAUUUCAUCGGCGAGAGCUUCUUAGAGGGACAUCCGUCUACUAGGCGGAGGAAGAUAGGGGCAAUAACA